UACCUGUGAUGAGCUCUUCUCGACGGGCGGACAUAAGGAAAUCACCUCUGGUGCUUUUUGCUGAAUGUCGAGUUCUGAGUG
Molecule: small nucleolar RNA, 81 nt
Filed under: Sphenodon punctatus (tuatara)
Lineage: Eukaryota; Metazoa; Chordata; Lepidosauria; Sphenodontia; Sphenodontidae
Description: Small nucleolar RNA SNORD43 (ENSSPUG00000010514.1)
Source: RNAcentral